AUUGAACGCUGGCGGCAUGCCUUACACAUGCAAGUCGAACGGCAGCACGGGAGCAAUCCUGGUGGCGAGUGGCGAACGGGUGAGUAAUGCAUCGGAACGUGUCCUGUAGUGGGGGAUAGCCCGGCGAAAGCCGGAUUAAUACCGCAUACGACCUGAGGGUGAAAGCGGGGGAUCUUCGGACCUCGCGCUAUAGGAGCGGCCGAUGUCAGAUUAGGUAGUUGGUGGGGUAAAGGCCUACCAAGCCGACGAUCUGUAGCUGGUCUGAGAGGACGACCAGCCACACUGGGACUGAGACACGGCCCAG
Molecule: ribosomal RNA, 304 nt
Filed under: uncultured bacterium
Lineage: Bacteria
Description: bacterial SSU rRNA
Rfam family: Bacterial small subunit ribosomal RNA
Source: RNAcentral